This is a long non-coding RNA of Hirundo rustica (Barn swallow), 195 nucleotides long. RefSeq lists it as uncharacterized. The record is from RefSeq and is a predicted model, not a curated record. NCBI's taxonomy places the organism in Eukaryota, Metazoa, Chordata, Aves, Passeriformes, Hirundinidae. The transcript is spliced from 3 exons.
CAUUCUCUGACAACCAGGAUUGAGGAGAAACGAUGUUGCUCCUUCAGAUCUGAUGAGAAUGAGGUGGGAGACCACAUUGGUGGAAAAAGACAUACGGUCAUGAACACUCAAGGCUGGAGAAAUUUCUCGGUGUCAGACUGCAGAGGUACACCCUUCCCAGAGCCUGAAGGAACAAACUUCCAGGAGGAAAAAUGG